UGCUUGCAUGAGAGUGCGGGCGCGGCGGGCGGCGUCGCGGCGGCCGGAGCAAUCGCAGCGGCUGCACGCGUGCUCUGUCUCGCGCGGCAGACACGUGUCACCAGACGCGCACAGUGUUUACACUCUCUAUCCGUGAUGUGAAUAUGUGACAGUGCACUGACAUGACUAGGUGGUCGGCGCUCUUGCCUGCAAGAAAAAGCCGUCGUGCCGCCCGCCGCGCUGCCCCGGCGGCUGCAAGCCCAAGUACUGGUGACCUGCACGAGACACACUUCUACACGGAGGAAAAAUACGUGCGAGGAAACCGAAGAUUAUGUGGUACGAGUUGGCCGCGUCGCUGUGGUGGUGGGUGCUCUGCCUCGUGGUGGGCGCGAGCGGCUGCAAGAAGAAGACCAUCUGCCGCCCGCCGCCCGGCGGCAAGCCCGGCUGCGGCGGCCGCGGCCGCCCGUGACGUCACGCGCCAGCCGACGCUCAGCUGCACCAAGCCCUUAACGUAUGUUCUGCGCGAGUCAUGUUCUCAAGACCAUAUUCUAGUGUACCUAACAAACAUCACUGGAGCAUGCCUGGAGCAAGUUCUUCCAGAACGCACAAAUGAUGGCAACUAAGAGGAGGGAGCUCAAUCUACUGCACAUACAAGCUUUCAUCCAAGAAUCGAUUCUCAGGUGCGCGGACGGCGAGCGCCGGCGCCCCGGCACUCAGCGCCGCCGACACCACACCGUCUGUCUUACGGCGCUUUUGUAGUCGUCAUAUACUUACUAUUACCCUUUUAUACAUAAAUCAGAAAAUAUUCAAUAAAAACACAAAAGGCAA
Molecule: long non-coding RNA, 807 nt
Filed under: Helicoverpa zea (corn earworm)
Lineage: Eukaryota; Metazoa; Arthropoda; Insecta; Lepidoptera; Noctuidae
Description: uncharacterized LOC124643378, transcript variant X4
Source: RNAcentral